GAAGAAAGCAUAAUAUACAUUAAUAUAUCUAAAUAAAUUAAGGAUUCUACUAGUAUAUAGUGUUGAUACUAGUACAUGACAGACAAAAUGUUUUUUCCAAUUCACUUUUUAACAUACACAUCACCGUAACUCGUUCACAAUGAAAACGAUACUUUCUAACGUAUGGCAGGGGUUGGUUGACUGCGUGGAACGAACUUUACUUGGAACGGCUGAGGUGCUAUCGUAGUCCUACGGUUCCCUCCAGUGUAGGUAGAGCAUUCCCAUCGUGAUGAAUCUGCAAUCUUUUAUCUACUUUCCAUUCCGGGGUUUUCGUGGUGUGCCAUAAUAGUGCUUAUUUAACCACCCGGUGGCUGACAUCUUUUGACAUCCGGGGAGUGGUUUUAUUCAUAACAUUUUCUUAUAUAUAGUAUUAUCACGUCUUCUUUUUUAAGGGAUCCUAACAAGUUGAGGUCUCCUUUUGACAGGAUUUUCUUUUAUUCCUACGGCUUGGUUAAUUGAAUUUACGCUACUACAGAAGUUCAACCACCACUAACUACAAUCAUCCAAAGUAAUGAUGACUUAAUAGUCUCCAUGCCGGCUGAAAACAAGUCGUUACUAAUUUCAUGCCGGCUAAAAUAGAUCUCCAAGAAUUUGUUUCAAUUUCAAUUCUUCAAACGAAACAAUUAAAUGAAAUAUCGAUAUAUUUUAUUUAAAUAUUAUUUAAUGUACAAACCGUGAUAUAUUCCUUCAAAUAGCUCUCCUUAGCGACCCUCAACUAUGGCUUUCUCAAUUUAAAUGAAAUAACAUCAAUAAGGUCUCUGGCAUUAAUAAUGUUGAGAGCGCUGCGAUAUUCAUCCUUCAAGAUUUGGUAAAAUGCAGACAUUUCUUCAUGGUGCUGUUCUACUUUUUCUUUAGACUUAAUAGUCUCCAUACCUGCGGAAAACAAGUCGCUACGAAUUUUAUUUAAUUAUUGUAAUUCUUAGAACAUAACAUACUUAAAUGAUGUUAACUAUUUAGUAAAGUAUGUAAUGGUAUUUUAUUAAAAUAUUUUUGUACCAACCGUGAUCUCUUCCAUAAAAAAGCUCUCCCUCGGGACCCUCAACUUUAGCUUUCUCAAUUUAAAUCAAAUAAUAGCGAAAUGGUCUCUGGCAUUCUUGAUUUCCAGAGCACUGCGGUGUGCCUCUAUUAAUGUUUAAUAAAAAGCGAAUAUUUCUAAUCGGUUCUUAUCUACUUUUUCUUACAUCUGAGCUUAUCUCAGUAUGUUGGAUGUUACCCUACUACAGAAGCUUCACCAGGCCUCCGUUCUCUGGAAUAUAUUCCGUUUCUCGUAGUGUUUUUAUGCUGUUUUAUAUUUUUCCCAGUUCUUAAUAGUUCUGGUAUUUCUUGCUCGGUUAUAGAGUUCGCUGAGUCGCAUUCGCCUACCCACGCCGAAUGGCAUAAAGUAUUCUGGUCAUCUGCCUUUGCCAGUUAUUUUAGAAGGCCUCUUCUCUUCCAAACUUUAGCUUUCUUAAUUUAAAUGAAAUAAUAGUAAUAAAGUCUCUGCCAUUUUGGAUGUCAAGAGCGCUUCUGUGUUCAUUUAUUAAUGAUUGGUAAAAGGCGAACAUUUUCUUUCGUGGUUAGUUUGUUUUAUUUUUUCGUGGUUAUUUAUUUAUUUUUUUAUGGAAUAGGAGGACAAACAAGCGUACGGGUCAACUGGUGUUAAGUGAUCACCGCCGCCCACACUCUCCUGCAACACCAGAGGAAACACAAGAGCGUUGCCGGCCUAUAAGGAAGGUGUACGCGCUUUUCUUGAAGGUACCCAUGUCGUAUCGUCCCGGAAACACCGCACAAGGAAGCUCAUUCCACAGCUUCGUGGUACGAGGAAGUUUUUUGAUCUUAUGCUACUACAGAAGUUUCACCAAGCUCCCGUUCUCUGGAAUUUAUUGCGCUUCUCGUAGUGUUUUUGCGCUGUUUUAUAUUUGUCCCAGUCGUCAAUAGUUCUGGUAUGUUGUAUGAAGUAUUUCGGUCAUCUGAUAUUGCUAGUUAUUUAAGCUUGCAUUUGAAUGAUCUGCAACUGGAAGUUUGUUUGGAAAAGCUUGUCUGUGAACUAAGGCCUCGUCUAAACAUUUCCACGUUUUACUUUCUCUUGAUAAAUCAGUCCAAACCGGAUCAACAGCAUCAGGGUAUCGUAACAUAACUACAAUCAUCCAAAGUAAUGAUGACUUAAUAGUCUCCAUGCCGGCAUGAAAGUAGAUCUCCCAGUAUCUGUUUCAAUUUUAAUUCUUUAUACAAAACAUAAUGAAAUGAUAUGCACUAAAUAUCAUCAACUUUAAAGAAAAUAUAUAUUUAAUCAAAACAAAUCUUACAACAAUAUUUACAAUACUACGACUAAAUAUUAAAUUAUAUGAACCUAUUUCAUUAACAUAUUUUUGUACCAACGCUGAACUAGAAGUUUGUGUGGAGCAGCUUGCCUGUCGACAAAGGCCUCCUCUGAAGAUUUCCACGUUUUCCAUUCUCUUGCUAAUUCGGUCCGAACCGGAUCAGCUGCAUCAGGGUAUCGUAACAUAACUACAAUUAUUCAAAGUAAUGAAGGCUUAAUUGUCUCCAUGCCGGCUAAAAUAGAUCUCCAAGAAUUUGUUGCAAUUGUAUUUUUAUAUGUAUUUUUAUUUAAAUAUUAUUUAUUGUACAAACCGUGAUAUCUUCCUUCAAAUAGCUCUCCUUCGCGACCCUCAACUAUGGCUUUCUCAUUUUAAAUGAAAUAACAUCAAUAAGGUCUCUGGCAUUAAUAAUGUUGAGAGCGCUGCGAUAUUCAUCCUUCAAGAUUUGGUAAAAUGCAGACAUUUCUUCAUGGUGCUUGUCUACUUUCUCUUUCAUCUGACGUUUUCCCUGAGUGUUGGAUUUACGCUACUACAGAAAUUUUGCCAGGUUCCUGUUCUCCGGAAUCUAUCGGUUUCUCGUAGUGUUUUUGUGCUGUUUUAUUUUUUUCCCAGUUCUCAAUAGUUCUGGUAUUUAUUGCUCGGUUAUAGAGUUCGUUGAGUCGCAUUCGCCUCCCCACGCCGAAUUGCAUAAAGUAUUCUGGUCAUCUGCCUUUGCCAGUUAUUUUAGCUUGCAUUUGAAUGAUCGGCAACUACAAGUUUGUGUGGAACAGCCUGUCUGUUGGAAAAGGCCUCCUCUACAGAUUUCCACGUUUUCCUGUCUCUUGAUUAAUGGGUCCACACCGGAUCAGCAGCAUCAGGGUAUCUUAACAUAACUACUAUCAUCCAGAGUAAUGAAGCCUUAAUGGUCUCCAUUCCAGCAGAAAAUAGGUCUCUAAGAAUUUGUUUCAAUUAUUGCAAUUCUUAGCCCGAACCACAAUUAAAUGAAAUAAACAAUAUAUUAUACAGUAUAUGAAUGUAUUUUAUUAAAAUAUUUUUGUACCAACCGUGAUCUCUUACAAACUUUAGCUUUCUUAGUUUAAAUGAAACAAUAGUUAUAAAGUCUCUGCCAUUGUUGAUGUCAAGCGCGCUUCUGUGUUCAUUUAUUAAUGAUUGGUAUAAGGCGAACAUUAUCUAUCGUUGCUUUUUUUUUCUUAAAUCUGAGCAUAUCAGUUUGUUAAUGUUACGCUACUACAGAAGUUUCACCAGGCCCCCGUUCUCUGGAAUUUAUUCCGCUUCUCGUAGUGUUUUCGUGCUGUUAUAUAUUUGUCCCAGUCAUCAAUAGUUCUGCUAUGGUGUAUGAAGUAUUUCGGUCAUCUGAUUUAGCUUGUUAUUUAAGCUUGCAUUUGAAUGAUCUGCAACUGGAAGUUUCUUUGGAACAGCUUGUGUGUGGACUAAGGUCUCCUCUAAACAUUUCCACGUUUUACUUUCUCUUGCUAAAUCAGUCCAAACCGGAUCAACAGCAUCAGGGUAUCGUAACAUAACUACAAUCAUCCAGAGUAAGGACGACUUAGUAGUCUCCAUGCCGGCUGAAAGUAGAUCUCCUAGUAUCUGUUUCAAUUUUAAUUCUUGAAACAAAACAUAAUUAAAUGAAAUGCACUAAAUAUUAAAUUAUAUAAAACUAUUUCAUUAAAAUAUUUUUGUACCAACGUUGGACUAGAAGUUUGUGUGGAGCAGCUUGUCUGUCGACAAAGGCCUCCUCUGAAGAUUUCCACGUUUGCCAUUCUCUUGCUAAUUCGGUCCGAACUGAAAUAGCUGCAUCAAGGUAUCGUAACAUAACUACAAUUAUUCAAAGCAAUGAAGGCUUAAUUGUCUCCAUGCCCGCUAAAAUAGAUCUCCAAGAAUUUGUUUCAAUUGUAAUUCUAAAAACAAAACAAUUAAAUGAAAUGUAAUUCAUUUUAAAUAAUAUGAAUGUAUUUUAUUUAAAUAUUAUUUAUUGUAGAAACCGUGAUAUCUUCCUUCAAAUAGCUCUCCUUCGCGACCCUCAAUUAUGGCUUUCUCAAUUUAAAUGAAAUAACAUCAAUAAGGUCUCUGGCAUUAAUAAUGUUGAGAGCGCUGCGAUAUUCAUCCUUCAAGAUUUGGUAAAAUGCAGACAUAUCUCCAUGGUGCCUGUCUACUUUCUCUUGCAUCUGACUUUUUCCCUGAGUGUUGGGUUUACGCUACUACAGAAGUUUCGCCAGAUUCCUGUUAUCCGGAAUCUAUGGGGUUCUAGUAGUGUUUUUGUACUUUUUUAUAUUUUCCCAGUCUUCAAUAGUGCUGGCAGUUUUUAAUCGGUUAUUGAGUUCGCUGAGUCACAUUUGCCUUUCCAGGCUGAAAGGCAUAAAGUAUUCCAGUCGUCUACUUUUGCCAACUAUUAUUUUAGGUUUCAUUUGAAUUACUUUCCUUAAGACUUAAUAGUCUCCAUUCAGGCGCAUAGUAAGGCGUUACGUAUUUGAUUUAAUUUUUGUAAUUCUUAGAACAUAACAAAAUUCAAUGAAAUUUACUAUAUAGUAAAGUAUAUGAAUGUAUUUUAUUGAAAUAUUUUUGUACCAACCAUGAUCCCUUCCUUCAAAUAGCUCUCUCUUGGGACCCUCGGGAUUUUUAGCUUUCUCAAUUUAAAUGAAAUAGUAGCUCUACCAUAGUCUCUGGCAUUGUUGAUUUCGACAGGUCUGCGAUGUUCAUCCAUUAAUAUCUGCUAACUAAAUGCAAACUUUUCUUCACGGUGCUUGUCUACUUUCUCUUGCAUCUGACUUUUUCUCUAAGUGUUGGGUUAACGCAACUACAGAAGCUUCGCCAGGUUCCUGUUCUCCGGAAUCCAUCGGUUUCUAGUAGUGUUUUUGUGCUUUUUUAUAUUUUUCCUAGUUUUUGAUCGGUUAUAGAGUUCCCUGAGUCACAUUUGCCAUUCCAGGCUAAAAGGCAUAAAGUAUUCCGGUCGUCUACUUUUGCCAAGUUUUAUUUUAGCUUUCAUUUGAAUGACUUUUUCUAAAGACUUAAUAGUCUCCAUUCCUGCCGAGAAUAAGUCAUUAAGAAUUUGUUUCAAUUAUUGUAAUUCUUAAAACAAAACAUAAUUUAAUUUAAUUUACUAUAUAUAAAAGUAUAUGAAUGUAUUUUGCUCUCCCUCGGGAUGCUCAACUUUAGCUUUCUCAAUUUAAAUGAAAUAAUAGCAAAAAGGUCUCUGAUAUUCUUGAUCUUGAGAGCGCUGCGAUGUUCCUUUAUUAAUGUUUGAUAAAAGGCGUACAUUUCUUACAGGUGCUAAUCUGCUUUUUCUUACAUCUGAGCUUUUCCCAGUUUAUUGAGGUUACGCUACUACAGAAGUUUCACUAGGCCUCCGUUCCCCAGAAUCUAUUCUGCUUGUCGUAGUAUUUUUGUUUUGUUUUUAUUUAAAUCUAUGUACAACGUUUUUUUCGGAAAUCUUCAUGCCAUUGUCCUUAGUAUCUAUUAUUCAAAAGUAUUUUUUGUUUCUAGAAUAAUACAAUGGAGCUCGAUUUUCUGUUCACUAUAAGUUCACAAAGUAAAAAAUUUAUUUUUUUACAGAAAAUGUUAUCGAAGCAAGUAACUAAAGUAAGGGAGAUUGUAAUGGGUUUGAAAAAAGCAUAAUAUACAUUAAAAUAUCCAAAUAAAUGAAGGAUUCUCCUAGUAUAUAGGGUUGAUACUAGUACAUGACAGACAAACAUGUUGUUUCCAAUUCACUUUUUAACAUAAACAUCAUCAUAACUCGUUCACAAUGAAAACGAUACUUUCUAACGUAUGGCAGGGUCUGGUCGACUUCGUGGAACGAACUUUACUUGGAAUGGCUGAGGUGCUAUCGUAGUCCUACGGUUCCCUCCAGUGAUGGUAGAGCAUCCCCAUCGUGAUGACUCUGCAAUCUUUUAUCUACUUUCCAUUCCUGGGUUUUAUUGGUGUGCUAUAAUAGUGCUUAUUUAACCACCCGGAGUCUGACGUCUUUUGACAUCCGGGGAAUGGUUUUUUUCAUAACAUUUUGCUGGUUUCUUAGGCUGUACUUAUAUUAUAAUUGCAGUAUUCUUUUUUAAGGGAUCCCAAAAAGUUGAGGUCUCCUUUUGACAGGAUUUUCUUUUAUUCUUACGGCUUGGUUAGUUGAAUUUACGCUACUACAGAAGUUCAACCGCAACUAACUACAAUCAUCUAAAGUAAUGACGACUUAAUAGUCUCCAUGCCGGCUGAAAAUAGAUCUCCCAGUAUCUGUUUCAAUUUUAAUUCUUUAUACAAAACAUAAUUUAAUGAAAUGCACUAAAUAUUAAAUUAUAUGAACCUAUUUCAUUAAGAUAUUUUUGUACCAACGCUGAACUAGAAGUUUGUGUGGAGCAGCUUGUCUGUCGACAAAGGCCUCCUCUGAAGAUUUCCACGUUUUCCAUUCUCUUGCUAAUUCGGUCCGAACCGGAUCAGCUGCAUCAGGGUAUCGUAACAUAACUACAAUUAUUCAAAGUAAUGAAGGCUUAAUUGUCUCCAUGCCGGCUAAAAUAGAUCUCCAAUAAUUUGUUGCAAUUGUAAUUUUAAAAACAAAACAAUUAAAUGAAAUGUACUAAAUUUUAAAUAAUAUGAAUGUAUUUUAUUUAAAUAUUAUUUAUUGUACAAACCGUGAUAUCUUCCUUCAAAUAGCUCUCCUUCGCGACCCUCAACUAUGGCUUUCUCAAUUUAAAUGAAAUAACAUCAAUAAGGUCUCUGGCAUUAAUAAUGUUGAGAGCGCUGCGAUAUUCAUCCUUCAAGAUUUGGUAAAAUGCAAACAUUUCUUCACGGUGCUUGUCUACUUUCUUUUGCAUCUGACUUUUUCCCUGAGUGUUGGGUUAACGCUACUACAGAAGUUUCGCCAGGUUCCUGUUAUCCGGAAUCUAUCGGUUUCUCGUAGUGUUUUAUGUGCUGUUUUAUUUUGUUCUCAGUCCUCAAUAGUUCUGGUAUUUAUUGCUCGGUUAUAGAGUUCGUUGAGUCGCAUUCGCCUCCCCACGCCGAAUGGCAUAAAGUUUUCUGGUCAUCUGCCUUUGCCAGUUAUUUUAGCUUGCAUUUGAAUGAUUGGCAACUACAAGUUUGUGUGGAACAGCUUGUCUGUUGGAAAAGGCCUCCUCUACAGAUUUCCACGUUUUCCUGUCUCUUGAUUAAUGGGUCCACACCGGAUCAGCAGCAUCAGGGUAUCUUAACAUAACUACUAUCAUCCAGAGUAAUGAAGACUUAAUACCGUAAUAAGAAUCUUUGUACCGGACAAUUACUGUUCGAGGCGCAAGCAUAGAUUGUUCUCAAGUAUGACAUAUCGUACUGUGGCUCGCACCAACUCACCUAUACCGAGGUCUCUCUCUGCUCUCAACGCUCUUCUCGAAGCCAACCAUGCUUGUGAUUUAUUUGCGGAUGGAUGGCAGACGAUUUUAACAGAGUGCUUGCGUUUUUGUGAGAGGAAUGGAUGAACGGUAUUUGGAUGUUAAUUAAUUGUUAGUUAUUUACAGUAAACUUUGUAUUUAUUAACUAUUAUUUGUGUAAUAUGUCUAGUUUGUAAUUAAUUCUUACUUUAAUAUUGUAAUUGGCUUACGCCGUUUUAUUAAAGUAUAAAUAAAUAAAUAAAUUAAUGGUCUCCAUUCCAGCAGAAAAUAGGUCUCUAAGAAUUUGUUACAAUUAUUGCAAUUCUUAGCCCGAAACACAAUUAAAUGAAAUAAACAAUAUACUAUAUAGUAUGUGAAUGUAUUUUAUUAAAAUAUUUUUGUACCAACCGUGAUGUCUUACAAACUUUAGCUUUCUUAGUUUAAAUGAAAUAAUAGUAAUAAAGUCUCUGCCAUUGUUGAUGUCAAGAGCGCUUCUGUGUUCAUUUAUUAAUGAUUAGUAUAAGGCGAACAUUAUCUAUCGUUGCUUUUUUUUUCUUAAAUCUGAGCAUUUAUCAGUUUGUUAAUGUUACGCUACUACAGAAGUUUCACCAGGCCCCCGUUCUCUGGAAUUUAUUCCGCUUCUCGUAGUGUUUUCGUGCUGUUAUAUAUUUGUCCCAGUCAUCAAUAGUUCUGCUAUGGUGUAUGAAGUAUUUCGGUCAUCUGAUUUAGCUUGUUAUUUAAGCUUGCAUUUGAAUGAUCUGCAACUGGAAGUUUCUUUGGAACAGCUUGUGUGUGGACUAAGGUCUCCUCUAAACAUUUCCACGUUUUACUUUCUCUUGCUAAAUCAGUCCAAACCGGAUCAACAGCAUCAGGGUAUCGUAACAUAACUACAAUCAUCCAGAGUAAGGACGACUUAGUAGUCUCCAUGCCGGCUGAAAGUAGAUCUCCUAGUAUCUGUUUCAAUUUUAAUUCUUGAAACAAAACAUAAUUAAAUGAAAUGCACUAAAUAUUAAAUUAUAUAAAACUAUUUCAUUAAAAUAUUUUUGUACCAACGUUGGACUAGAAGUUUGUGUGGAGCAGCUUGUCUGUCGACAAAGGCCUCCUCUGAAGAUUUCCACGUUUGCCAUUCUCUUGCUAAUUCGGUCCGAACUGAAAUAGCUGCAUCAAGGUAUCGUAACAUAACUACAAUUAUUCAAAGCAAUGAAGGCUUAAUUGUCUCCAUGCCCGCUAAAAUAGAUCUCCAAGAAUUUGUUUCAAUUGUAAUUCUAAAAACAAAACAAUUAAAUGAAAUGUAAUUCAUUUUAAAUAAUAUGAAUGUAUUUUAUUUAAAUAUUAUUUAUUGUAGAAACCGUGAUAUCUUCCUUCAAAUAGCUCUCCUUCGCGACCCUCAAUUAUGGCUUUCUCAAUUUAAAUGAAAUAACAUCAAUAAGGUCUCUGGCAUUAAUAAUGUUGAGAGCGCUGCGAUAUUCAUCCUUCAAGAUUUGGUAAAAUGCAAACAUUUCUUCACGGUGCUUGUCUACUUUCUCUUGCAUCUGACUUUUUCCCUGAGUGUUGGGUUAACGCUACUACAGAAGUUUCGCCAGGUUCUUGUUCUCCGGAAUCUAUCGGUUUCUAGUAGUGGUUUUGUGCUUUUUUAUAUUUUUUCCAGUCUUCAAUAGUGCUGGCUGUUUUUAAUAGGUUAUUGAUUUCGUUGAGUCACAUUUGCCUUUCCAGGCUGAAAGGCAUAAAGUAUUCCAGUCGUCUACUUUUGCCAACUAUUAUUUUAGGUUUCAUUUGAAUUACUUUUCUUAAGACUUAAUAGUCUCCAUUACGGCGGAUAGUAAGAAGUUACGUAUUUGAUUUAAUUUUUGUAAUUCUUAGAACAUAACCAAAUUCAAUGAAAUUUACUAUAUCGUAUAUGAAUGUCUUUUAUUAAAAUAUUUUUGUACCAUCUCCUCCAUAAAAAAGCUCUCCCUCGGGACCCUCAACUUUAGCUGUCUCAAUUUAAAUCAAAUAAUAGCAGAACGGUCUCUGGCAUUCUUGAUCUCCAGAUGUUCCUCUAUUAAUGUUUAAUAAAAGCGAACAUUUCUAAUCGGUUUUUUCUACUUUUUCUUACAUCUGAGCUUAUCUCAGUUUUCUCUUGCUCUCCAACAUGGACGGCACCAUAGAGCUCCAUUCUUCUUGAGAUUUGUUCAUUAAAAAUAGCAAAGUUUGAAUUGCCUUUUUCGAUACAAGCUCAACAGUAGCUGGCCGAUAACAUUAUGACCUAUCUUCCUGACUACCAUUAGGCGGAUACAUUAUAUUUAAACCCAAUGGAUAUUAGCAAGUGUAGCACCGUUAUGCUAGUGUGUGUGCGGUUACGGAGGGUACCAGUUACACAAUUUUUUCUCCCUUAAGUAAUCAUAUAUGGCCAUAAAUAUUUAUAUCGUAUCGUUUUUACACUUUUUCACAACGCACGACGGCAUUUUUAAAAUAUUUUAUUGAGACGCAAAGUGAUCUGUCACAGACGAUGUCAAUUCUCAUAAUGGCCCCUUAUCGGCCUGUAGUGGUGUGUGUGCUUAGGGCUAUGUAUUUACAUGUUAAUCGGCUUGUUUUGGUGCUACACUGUCAUGUAAGAUGACACGGAGUCCUUAUUUUUUUCCCAGUCCUCAAUAGUUCUGGUAUUUUUUGCUCGGUUAUAGAGUUCGCUGAGUCGUAUUCGCCUACCCACGCCGAAUGGCAUAAAGUAUUCUGGUCAUCUGCCUUUGCCAGUUAUUUUAGCUUGCAUUUGAAUGAUCGGCAACUAGAAGUUUGUGUGGAACAGCUUGUCUGUUGGAAAAGGCGUCCUCUACAGAUUUCCACGUUUUUCUGUCUCAUGCUAAAUGGGUCCACACCGGAUCAGCAGCAUCAGGGUAUCUUAACAUAACUAUGAUCUCCAUUCCAACAGAAAAUUGAUCUCUCAUUCUUAUAAUAUAAAUAGAUCUCAGAAUUUGUUUCAAUUGAAUUUCUUAGAACAAAACAUAAUUAAAUGAAAUGUACUAUAUAUUAAAGUAUAUGAAUGUAUUUUAUUAAAUUAUUUUUGUACCAACCGUGAUCUCUUCCUUCAAAUAGCUCUCUCUCGGGACCCUCGAGAUUUUUAGCUGUCUCAAUUUAAAUGAUAUAGUAGCUCUAGCAUAGUCUCUGGCAUUGUUGAUUCCGACAGGUCUGCGAUGUUCAUCCAUUAAGAUCUGCUAACUAGAUGCAAACAUUUUUUCACUGUGCUUGUCUACUUUCUGUUGUAUCUAGAUACUUCCGCGUUUUUCUUUCACGUGAACCUUUCCCAGAUUUACUGUGUUUACGAAGUUUCGCCAGGUGCCCGUUCUCCGCAAUCUCAUCCGAUUCUCGUAUUGUUUUUGUGCUGUUAUAUAUUUUUCUCAUUCCUUAAAAAUUCUGGUAUUUUUGCUCAGAUUCUGAUUUUAUAGAGUUCCUAAAGUCACAUUCGCCUUCCCACGCCGAAAGCCUUGAAGUAUUCCGGUCGAAUGCUUUUACUGGCAGCUGAAUGUUUGCGUGGAACAGCUUGUCUGUCAACCAAGGCCUUUUUAUGAUGAGCACAUCAUAUCUUUUGCUAGUUGGGAUUCUUGUGUCAGCAGCUGGGGACAUAGAAGUUCCUCAGGAUUUGACAUGUUGCAUAUUCAUAUACUUUGGUUGUAGCAGUGAGGUUACCAUAAUAUGAUGAUCUGCGUGGCAUGUUCUAGUAUCCAGACUGUAUACAAGUGGGUUCAUCGAUUUAGUUAAUCUCUAUAAUGCUGCAGCCCUACUUCGGCUACUUGCUGGGAUAUAUUUUCUGUAAUUGCAAUUUGCUCAACAAAUCAAUUUUUAAUAACUGAUAAAGGACCUCCGCAUGGGUGGAAACUAGUUGAUACCAACACCAAUGAAUUCACCGGCGGUUCGGCAUCAAGACUAUUCUUUCUAUCUGGGAUCUAGCCGGAAAAGCUCAGAUGCAAGAAAAUGUUGAUAAUAAUCGUGAUGAAAUGUUGGCAUUUUACAAGACCUUGAUAAAUCAACACCGCUUCACUCUCGAAGGCGAGAAUGCCAAUGGCCUUAUUGAGAAAGCUAAAGUUGACACGUCACGUCACGAGGAAGAGCUAUUUGAAGGAAGAAAUCACGAAAUACAACUGUUGGAGAUGUAUUUUCUGUUGGUAUGGAAACCAUUAAGUCUAUAAAGAUGAUGCUGCAGCCGACAGGGGGGGGGGGGUGUUAUUUUAUAACACUAAUGUUAAGAGACGUGUUCAGGAAGAGAUUGAUUUUGAUGUGGGCCGAGAGCGUCUCCCGGCUAUAGAAGAUAUGCCGGGCCUGCCCUACUGAACCAUCUAUCUUGGAAACACGUCGUAUGUCAGGAAUUAUUCCACUGGCUACAGGAUAUUCUCCAAACUGACAGGUGCAAGAGCUCUUCAAGAAGAUAGAUGAAUGCAAAGACAGAUGGAAAGUUGUUUGCACCGGAUUACUUCAUGCCGUUCACAGCGGGUCGCCAUGUUUGUUUAGCAGAGCAACUGGCACCAAUUCGUGAGGGAACAAAAAACGUUUUUUGAACUUGAUGAGCCAUUGAGCAUUUGAACCGCCGGAAGGUGAAAGUAUGCCGAACCUCAAAAAGGAUCUUUCGGCAUGAAGUACGCGCCUUAUGUAAUUUCGCAACUUAAUGCACAUUUUUUGACAAUUUCACUGUAAUUUUUUUGUCUUUUACAAAAAAAAAAUUUUUGGUUCAAAUGGUUUUUCAUUUAGUAUAUUUGAUUGGAUUUGUAAUUUGACAUUUACGUAUUUAGUGUGAUGUAUUAUUAAUUCUAAAAUAAAUUUUGUCAACCCGCAUACUAAAGGGUACAAUAUGUAUGAAUGAUGACUUAGGCUGGGUUGCAUCAUAUCAGCUUGUGUUAAGGUUUAAGUCAAAUUUAACCUUAGCAGUAACGCUGAUUUUAACAUAGACUGCGGAAUGUGUUGCGCCAUUGUAUACCUUGGUUACCAACCAAGGUUACCAAGUUAAUGCUAAAUAGUGACAUAUCAAGUCAAUAUCGAAUAUUUAUUUAAACCUUUUGAUAGGUCGCUAUUUAGCUAGUUAACAUUAAAAAUACCUUUAACUGACGUGGAUUGGACGGUUAUGGAUAUCAGUUAAAGUUAUGACGUCAUCUAAAAAUUGUCAAAUGUGCAACUCAUUUUAUGCUUAACCGGUAAUUUACCGUGUUUAUUAUAGCUAAAGUUACUUGGUGCAAUCCAGUAUUAGUAAAUUCCAAAUUAGUAUGUAUUAUUAUAUUCAGUAUUAUAGAAUUAAAAGAUUCAUGUAACACCAGUCACUGUUGAAGAACAAAUAUACUUUGUUUUUAUGUGUGUAAUUCUUAAUUUCAUGUACAAACGUAGAAGCUGCUAUAUUAUUUAAUCAGUAAAAUUUUUUGUAUGGAAUGUUAUUACUAAGUCAAGUUUAUUUUUAGCUCACAGUUUGCUGUUAGUAUAUAUUAUAAUAAUUAUUAAAUUUUAUUGUCCUUCUAUAAAACAUCUAUAUGUCUGUGCGGAUUUUAUAUUAUUGUAUUUGAGAAUUUCUUGACAUGUAUUUUUUGCGUUGUUCUUAGUUUGUCGUUACUUUUUAAUUCUUAUGUUUUUGGGUACAAUAAUCAUUUUUAAUUUUAAGUUACAUUCAAAGCUACUUUUGCACUGGUGUUUCUUAGUAUUAUGAUUAUUAUGCUCAGAAUUGAUAAUGAUUGGAAUUACUUAACUUAUAUUGCCUUAAGUUCGUCUUUGGACUACUAACAUAUGAGAAUGAAUGAAUAAUAUUAUGUUUAAAACUCAAAUAGUACAAGCAUUAAAAUCGUAUCAAAUACUGUUUAUAUUGUUUUAAAUUUAUAGUUUGUUGCACCUUUUUCAUUCUCUUUUUGUAUCUAUUAAAUUUUAACCUUGUAAUGUUUACCUUUCUCGAUUUUUGUAAUUAAUCUGUACUUAACGGUGCUGGUGGCACAUUUAGUAUUAUUACCUUAUAAUAUAUUUUAGUUAGUAAGAUCCAAUGUUUCACUGUUUGUUGAUUCCUAUAAAUAAGAUAAAAAUAAAUUGUAUUUUAGAUAAUAAAUUUUUUACUCUCCCAUAUAAA
Molecule: long non-coding RNA, 13718 nt
Organism: Leptidea sinapis
Lineage: Eukaryota; Metazoa; Arthropoda; Insecta; Lepidoptera; Pieridae
Exons: 6
Source: RefSeq, a predicted model, not a curated record